GAGAGGUUAUGUUGCAUCGAACUCAAAGGAUGAUCCUGCCAAGGAGGCUGCCAGCUUCACUUCUCAGGUCAUCAUUAUGAACCAUCCUGGUCAGAUUGGCAAUGGCUAUGCCCCUGUCCUUGAUUGCCACACCUCACACAUUGCUGUUAAGUUUUCUGAGAUCCUCACCAAGAUUGACAGGCGAUCUGGGAAGGAGCUUGAGAAGGAGCCCAAAUUUUUGAAGAAUGGUGAUGCAGGUUUUGUUAAGAUGAUUCCCACCAAGCCCAUGGUUGUCGAGACCUUCUCUGCGUACCCACCUCUCGGUCGAUUUGCUGUGAGGGACAUGCGCCAGACUGUGGCUGUGGGAGUCAUCAAGAGUGUUGAGAAGAAGGAUCCAACUGGUGCUAAGAUCACCAAGGCUGCUGCAAAGAAGAAGUGACACAUGCAUUCUAAAUGGGCUGUGGCUAGAGGCUUUGGGAAUUUAGUAGUUACUAGUGUUGCUUUGAUUCUUCAUGGUGUUUGCUAUAGGUUUUGGUCGAUGCCAUUGUCUCUAUUUGGCAGUUGGUUGCAGAACUGGGUGCUUGAUAGGCGGUGGUGGAGACCCAUGAGGUUUUGUUGAGUCCCAUGGCGUUUUGGUGUGUUUUAGUGAUUCUGGUUUCCAUCGUACCUAUCUUUCCAUUGAGACUUUUUCCAAAGCUGCUUCAGAGUUUUUAGGUCUGCUCCUGAGCAGCUAGGAUAGUUUUGUUAUAUUAAGAUACGCCAUCUUUUAAUGUUCAUGGAUUUUUAAUAAAUUACUUGUUUUAAUCUAUUCUGCUAGGUGAAGUAGCAAAUAAUGUGAUCUAGUUUUCUGGCUUAUUUCCUCUUUGAACCUUAAUCUGCCUGUCGUGCAUGUGGAGAAUUGUGUAUCUUCAUUUUCUUGUACUGUUUUUGGUACGUAUUCUUGUAUGUUUUUUCAGGUUCGGAUGUAAGUUAUGAUCUUUUUUUCAUUCCCAAUUUACAGGCAUUGGGAUUCCUAGUUAAUGGAGAGAAGGUGACAAUGGCUUAACUGGGAUAACCAAUUUACAGGCACUGGGAUUCCUAGUUAAUGGAGAGAAGGUGACAAUGGCUUAACUGGGAUAACCAAUUUACAGGCACUGGGAUUCCUAGCUAAUGGGGAGAAGGUGACAAUGGCUUAACUGGGAUUCCCAAUUUUCAGACACUGGCUUAGCUGGUUGAUGUGGUAUGUUUAGGUCUUUGGAUUCAUAAGGUCUUUUGAUCCUUGCUCGGUGUCUUGGUUGAUAUGUCGAGCCUCAUGUUCAUGGCCAUUUGAUAACACAAUGGGGGAGGUACAUGCAGAAUGGAAAGGCACUGCUGAGAAUGGAUCUUGGAAAUUUUUGUUUAUCCCUCUCUCCUGGGAUGAACCUUGUAUGCUGCUGAGCAGGCUUUCUUUUUGUUUUCCUUGAAAAGGGAAGUCUGCUCAACCACAGCCCCGCAUUCUCGUGAUGCUAUCAACCUUGUGAAGGUUCUAACUGAGGCCAAAGGGAUGAUAAAUUGAAGGACUGGACAGGAGCUCAUGUUUCUAAAGAAUCGUAUAUUAACAUAGCACAAUUUUGGCCGUUUUUCUGAGUGAAAUCAGGCAGAAUUCUUAGUGGCAGUGAUUGAAUAUCGUUGGCGGCACUAAAGGUUGUGUGAGAAAGCUGCUAAACUCGUUGAAUAUCCGAGUGUCUGAAACUGGUGUCGAAUUGUCAAGUUCUAGGGGUUGUUACGUUGUCUUUGGGAGUUGGGGUCAUCUGGAGUGCAUGUUUGCACAAUGGGUGAGAUUUUAUUGCCCAUCUUAUUUUGUACGUUAGACAUGUUUAGNNNNNNNNNNNNNNNNNNNNNNNNNNNNNNNNNNNNNNNNNNNNNNNNNNNNNNNNNNNNNNNNNNNNNNNNNNNNNNNNNNNNNNNNNNNNNNNNNNNNNNNNNNNNNNNNNNNNNNNNNNNNNNNNNNNNNNNNNNNNNNNNNNNNNNNNNNNNNNNNNNNUUUUUUUGGUACAUGAGCAGGAAAGGUUCCCAACAGCAUAAAAAACACAAAAAAUUGUCCCAAGGACUACUCUCUAACAAAGUGGAUUCCAUAAUCAUCCGCAUAUGGCAAAGCUCUCACUUCCUAAGACUUGAUUCUGUUAGCUUCAUAAUCUUCAUUAUCUGCUGGCUAAUUGGCUUCCCUGAAUAUGUGGCUUGCGAAGAAGAGACCGAGGGGAUUAGGGGAGAAGCAAAAUGGAUUAUGUCUGAAAGCAAAGGGUGCUUUGUAGCCAUUGAAAGCUUGUUGAAAUGCUCCCUAAUCCAGUUGAUUAUAGUGCAUGGUGAAAGCAGCUUAAGUUCCUCCGGAGGAUUCUUGCACGAUUGACUGCCAUAAUAACUUGCAGCGUAUGUGCUGCCUGCGGGCUGCUGGUCAAUUACAAUAUAAGCAGUUUGAUAUAAGAAAUUUUUUAGUUCGGUCCAUCUUUGUUUUAGUUUUCAAGAUUGUAAUUAAUCCACAGUAACUUGCAGCCAAGCUGCACACAACAAAAGCAUGUGGCGUGUUUAAUUGUGGCUUACAACAGCUACCCCUAAAAUAAACUUGGUUUUUGUUGGUUUCAUUGGAUGUUGAUUUUCUUAUGAAUCAUUCAUCGAGUUUAAGGUUGGGCAUGUCUUUUUGUUCAAUUAGAUGUAGAUCCAAAUUGAUAUAUUUGUGUUGCUUCUUUUUUUUUCCAAAAAAUAAUGAGUACUAGUCUUUUUCAAUAUGGUUUAGACUGAUCAUCAUGCACUGCCAGUCUGCUAUGUUCCCUGAAUUAAACACAAGGACAAGGCAAGAAUGAAUGGAGAUUGGACAAAGAGAACCCCAAUGAGAUUAUUGAUUUCAUGUGUUUUUCCACUUCCCCAGUGUUCCAGCAGGCAGCAUAGGUUAAGUUGGUAAGAGAUUUUUUUUUUUUUGUCUACAACGGAUGACCCACAUCAUCCUAGUAUGAAUACAUCUAAGAGAAUCAGAUCCCAAAGUACACUCAUUGUUGGCAUUGGAUUGGUCCACUGUACUUCACCAGAGUGCUUAACCAUAUAAGAGGCCACCCAAUUCGCAGCCCUAUUAGCCUCGCGGUUGAUGUGUCUCGCAUGAAAAAAAGUGCCUUCUCUCUCCCGUCUCUAGAUGUCGGGAAUUGCCAGAGCAUUGUUUGAGGAGAUGAUGCAUAAAGGGAAACAAAAGACUUGAUUUAGGCUGGUUCACAGUUGAGCAGGAAAGAAUUAGUUUUGAUUUAAUUUGAUCAAUUUGACUUGAUCAUAUUUAAUUCUCACACCAUGCAAUGCGAAUUCUUUUGGCAGAGGCUAAGUUAGCUAUGAUGCAUGCUACUCCACAUGCAAUCCCAUGGGACAAAAUGGGACGCAUCCUGAAAGAAACUUCUCUUUCUGCUCACCUGCUAGUUAUCCCAACUAGCAUCCAUCUCUUACUCUCAUGCACCACAUGCCCACUUGAUGCAUCUUUCAUGAAAAAGGCUAAACUUCAGAUGCAUCUAAUUUCUAAACAAGUAACUAAACUGUGAUCAAAUUGCCUCCAAAACAACAGUCUGACCACGCAUUGAAGCAUCACAGAUUAGGCACUAUUAAUUGUGCCACCACAAACAUGCAGAUAGAAUGUCCUUGCCAUGCAUAUUGUCGAGAGUUACAUAUUGUCUAUUCCAUCAAAAAAUGCUUAGAAUGCAUGUUAAGUGCAACACAAAAACUUCUUUAACCUCUAAUGCUGACUUGAUAACUUAAUAUUCGAUCAUGUCUCGUAUAUUGUAUUAGUUUACGCGAGUUACACCGAUCCUCUAGUAUCAUUCUUUAGGAAAAGGUAAUGUGCAUGGAUGUCAAAUACUUCUCAUUUUUUUUUAAAAAAAAGGCCGCAAUUUUCUUUUCCUUAUUAAGGGGAAAAAUAUGUUUUUGAGGAGCAAAUAAGAGGUUGGGUGUUUCACAUGUGAAUAUGGCUAAUAGUAUUGUAAAAACUUAUAUUUUCAAUAUUUUCUUUUUCACAUUCAUAGUUAUUGGAGUAUUAUUUUGGGUGCAUGAGAUAAUAUGUAAUAAUAAUUCAACAGUCUAGUAAAAUAAUUUAUUGGCAAAAAGAUUGGAUGCGGAUCAUCGGAUGUGGCUGCGGCUGGAUCUAUCGAUGGAGGCGACCCAAUUAGACUUUUUUUUAAUUCAAUAUUCGAUAUGAGUAUAUAGAGUAUUAAUUGGUUUGGGUUUGGAUUUGGAAAAUGAUAAAUAUUGACGUAAGCCAAAUCCGACCUACGCUUGAAGUUCCCACGCGGGCGCACGUGGUGUUUUCAGGAUGUCGCCAUGUUCAUCUCACGCAGCCUUAAAAAACACGUGGCAUCACUUCAUUCUUACGAUCACAAUAAAUAGUGGGAUGCGUGCAAUACGUAACACCGUCCGAUCCAAAUCCAACGGCACGAAGAGAAACCCUAACGGAGCAAGUCUUGAAAGCUUCGACCCUCCUGGAUAAAAGGCUCGCAGUGCUCCCAUUGAAAGCCCUCUCCACCUCUCGGUUCUCGUCGCCCCAAUUCUUUCUCCGGAGGGUACGAUCUCCCCUUCGCCGACCGAGGUGAGAUCCCCUUGCCUCUCUGUAAAGCCGAUCUUUUUGAUUGACUUUUGGUUAUGUAAAAUCUUGCAUGAAUACUUGAGCUCUAAUGAUAAAUUGGCUUACCUGUCGAUAUAUGUUAUUAGAUCUAGCAGCAGAGGUAUUAGUUUUGCGUGUUUGAUCUAAAUUUCCUCGGACUCGUCUCUGUCUGCUUUGAUUUGUCUAGCUAAGAUUGCUUCGUGGGGUUUCUUGAAUAAAAAGGGUUUGUUUCUGUGUCUCAAGGAAAUCAUAUUGUGAUCUGAGUUUCUUGUGAUAUUGAUCUGAUUGCGUUUUGAAUGAAAUUGUUGAAAGCGAUCGAUGUGGAAGCUCGAGUCCUGGCUUCAUGGCCUUGAUCUGGAUAUCUCGUGGAUUAUUCAUCUCUUUUUUACUUUGAACCGAUAGCAAGCUAUGUCUUGCUUUCCAAUUUUAAUUCUCUUUAUCUUUGAUUGAAAGAUGUUUUGGAGGUACUAUUGUUGAUUAAAGGUGCUGAUUCUUUGUAUAUCUUAGUGAUUUUUGUCUUUCUUUCUUUUCUAGGCCAAUGUCCAUCUUCCUUUGCGAAUGAGUUACUCUGUUCAUCCUUCAUACAUGCUCUUUAAAAGAAGAAAAAAAUAAAAAAAUGAAGUGUACACGUGUAAUACUAUCCUUUUCAACUUUUUGUUCGUGAUUUAACUACCAACUCUUUGUUAGGCGUCAUAUCACUUUGUUUCCGUAGUACAAUAAUAUAGCUUCAAACCACUUUAUUGUUCUGUCGUCAGGAUUUUGAUCUUAACGGGCUUGAUGAGGAUUGUGGUUAUUCAAAAUAUUAUACAAUUACCUUUUCAAAUUGCAAUACAGAUUGUUGAUACUAUGAUACUGGUUAUUUCUUUUUCAAAAGGAAAAUCCCCUUUGUUUGUGUGCUAAGUGGUUGCAUUAACUUGAACUACUUUCUGUAGAAAUAUCAUUCUGGUAUUUUUCUUGUUUAAAAUAUUUUUAUGUCUACCUUUUUUUCCAGUUUAUAGUUACUUGUAUAAUUAAUUACAUUAGUGGAGAUUUGGUUAAUCCUUGCCUAUAUUUUUGGUUGCAAGAGGUUCUAAAUCUAAAAUUGCCUUUGUUGCUGUAUGUAUUACACUGGCACGUUAAGGAGGUUUCAUAUUGUUUGUUAUUUCCGCGCCUGUUGAUGUCCAACUGCAAUGCAUUUUCCCCUAGUUCAUAGCGUCUUGUCUUAACAACUAGGGUUCUUAAAGUUUGGUAAUUUUUUGCUUCUUCUUUCGGCUGCAAGUGGUUGUCACUUUAAGUGACUUGAUGAAUUUGUUCUGGAUGCAUAUAUCAAACUUAGAAACCAGGUAGUUUUCAUGUCAUGAGUUUUUUCUUAUUAACUCUGGAUUUUUGACUCUCAUACAUGUCAAGACGAGUGAACUUAGGAUUUUUCCACUUUAAACUUUCUUUUUGUCUAGCUAAAACUAUAGUAAACUAUAGCUUCUGUUGUUUUGAGAAUUGCAUUGUAUUUCUAGAUGUGACAUAUUCUGGAGUAAAUCAUGGCUGAGGUUUCUUAGAUGGUAAAGGAAGAUGCUGUGGAUUUUACUAUAAAUUUGUUUAUGUAUUUUCUUAGUUUUGAACAAACCAGGGCAAUAUAUGAUUGGCCUUCUAUAUUUUUGAUGGGCACAUUUACCGCGUUUUCUCUUUUUUUGUUUCUGCAUAGGGUCAUUAAGAUUUUGCUCUAGUUGUUCGUCUGGCCUUUUCAUAUGUUCUCCAAGGUUUUCUUUUUCUAUUUCUAUUUUUCUCCCUGCCCCGCGUUCAUUUCUUCCUGAUGAUCCUGUGUGGGCAAUGUGGCUGUCCAUAUAUUAUCUUAGUUUGAAUUAUUUUUGUUGUUACAAGCUAUCCUCUGUACAAGGACCUGUAAUUUGACUUGUUUAAAGUAUACGAGUUUAAAAUUUGGAAUGUGAACUCUGUAUUACUAUUGCAUUUGUUUUCUUAGGUUUUUUUCCUCUCUCAUUGGAUAUAACAAUCUUGUGUUCUUGUUAUUCUUGCCUCACGAUCUUUUUCUUUUUCUUUCUUUCUUUCUUCUUCCUCCUCUUCUUCUCUCUCUCUCAUAGCCAUCAUGGGAAAGGAAAAGGUACACAUUAACAUUGUGGUCAUUGGCCAUGUUGAUUCUGGCAAGUCGACCACCACCGGGCACCUUAUCUACAAGCUUGGUGGUAUUGACAAGCGUGUGAUUGAGAGAUUCGAAAAGGAAGCAGCUGAAAUGAACAAGAGGUCGUUCAAGUAUGCUUGGGUUCUUGACAAGCUGAAGGCCGAGCGAGAACGUGGUAUCACAAUUGAUAUUGCUCUCUGGAAGUUCGAGACCACAAAGUACUACUGCACUGUCAUUGAUGCCCCUGGGCAUCGUGACUUCAUCAAGAACAUGAUCACAGGCACCUCCCAGGCUGACUGUGCUGUCCUUAUCAUAGACUCCACAACUGGUGGUUUUGAAGCUGGUAUCUCAAAGGAUGGACAGACCCGUGAACAUGCAUUGCUUGCCUUUACUCUUGGUGUCAAGCAGAUGAUCUGCUGCUGCAACAAGGUAGGAAUGUUGCUGCCUGCUUCUGUGUCUUCGUUGUCGUUAACACUACAUUUGCCAUUCAUUGUUGGAAAAAGGUUUUAAAUGAUGUCUUCGAUGACUUAUUGUUGUCAUCUCUUUUUUCAUGGUUUUUGUUCCUAACCAAUCCUGUGUUGCAUGGCCUACUCAAUUAUGCAUGCUUUUGAAGUGUUUUAAGAGUGGAUACUGUCUUUUCGUGUUCAGGUGAUUGUGUCUGCUCUGUGAAAUUGGAAUCAUGAUUUUUUUUAUUAGUUUUGUUUAUUUUAUUUUGUAUUUCCCUACUGUCUUAUUUUAGGAUAAAAAAAUUGAGGUUGUUGUUUUGUUCACAGAGCAUAUGUUAGAUGCAUGCGCAAUUCAUGUUCAGAUUAGAAGGUUUGGGUUCAAAUUCGUCAUGAGUUUUUUCUUACCAAUAUGCUAAUUUACGCUGAACUUCUUUCGUCUAUUUUUUUGGUGCAAUUUCUUCCUUGAAGUGUGUAACCUAUCAAAGUCUCUUUGUUUUUUGAUUAUAUGCCCUUGUUUAUUUGUGAUGCUUCACUGUUCUAGAUGGAUGCCACUACUCCGAAGUACUCGAAGGCUAGGUAUGAUGAAAUUGUCAAGGAAGUUUCUUCCUACUUGAAGAAGGUUGGUUACAAUCCUGAGAAGAUUCCCUUUGUUCCCAUCUCUGGGUUUGAAGGCGAUAACAUGAUUGAGAGGUCCACCAACCUGGACUGGUACAAGGGUCCCACCCUUCUUGAGGCCCUUGACCUGAUCCAGGAGCCAAAGAGGCCCUCAGACAAGCCCCUUCGCCUUCCUCUUCAGGAUGUCUACAAGAUUGGAGGUAUUGGCACUGUCCCAGUUGGACGAGUUGAAACUGGUACCCUCAAACCUGGUAUGGUUGUUACUUUUGGUCCCUCGGGUCUGACAACUGAAGUCAAGUCAGUUGAAAUGCACCAUGAAGCCCUCCAGGAAGCUCUCCCUGGUGACAAUGUGGGCUUCAAUGUGAAGAAUGUUGCUGUCAAGGAUCUCAAGAGAGGUUAUGUUGCAUCAAACUCAAAGGAUGAUCCUGCCAAGGAGGCUGCCAGCUUCACUUCUCAGGUCAUCAUUAUGAACCAUCCUGGACAGAUUGGCAAUGGCUAUGCCCCUGUCCUUGAUUGCCACACCUCACACAUUGCUGUUAAGUUUUCUGAGAUCCUCACCAAGAUUGACAGACGAUCAGGGAAGGAGCUUGAGAAGGAGCCCAAAUUUUUGAAAAAUGGUG
RNAcentral lists this long non-coding RNA (8352 nucleotides) under Phoenix dactylifera (date palm). RNAcentral's name for it is "long non-coding RNA (PDAC_LNC001627)". The record is from RNAcentral. Lineage: Eukaryota; Viridiplantae; Streptophyta; Magnoliopsida; Arecales; Arecaceae.